RNAcentral lists this ribosomal RNA (253 nucleotides) under uncultured bacterium. RNAcentral's name for it is "partial 16S ribosomal RNA". It matches the Rfam family "Bacterial small subunit ribosomal RNA", at positions 524 to 776 of the family's 1533-position model. The record is from RNAcentral.
GACGAACCGUGCGAACGUUGUUCGGAAUCACUGGGCUUAAAGGGCGCGUAGGCGGUCCGACAAGUCAGGGGUGAAAUCCUGCAGCUUAACUGUAGAAGUGCCUCUGAUACUGUCGGUCUUGAGGGAGGUAGGGGUGUGCGGAACUUCCAGUGGAGCGGUGAAAUGUGGUGAUAUUGGAAGGAACGCCGGUGGCGAAAGCGGCGCACUGGACCUCUUCUGACGCUGAGGCGCGAAAGCGUGGGGAGCAAACGGG